GAACAAUUCCCAGCUGAAAGAACUGUGAGUAUCACCAGCUUCUUUCAGUACAUCCUCAAAAAUGGACCUUCUGUGGUGGAAAAAAGAUCUCCAAAGUGGGGUUUUUGAUCUGUGCCUCAGGUUUGUUGUGCCCUGGCAUGCUGUAGGGCCAGCUUCCAAUUGGACCCUUCCAAAUAUCACUAGGAGCAUCUGUAUGGCCAUUUGUCACCAAGAAAAUCCAGUCCAAGACACCAGCAACCCCAGCAGCAAUCCCCAGGAAAAGCACAGAGUGUGGCCCACGUUCCACAGUCUCUUCCAGCACAUCUCCACUAAGAAAUUCCCAUCAAAGCUACAGCAGGGAAGGGCCAUGCAGCCAGGCUCCCAUCCCAGCCACCUCCCAGCCUGCAGCAUCCCUCCCCAGCCCUGCCUGGGGGGAAUCCCAAGACUGCCACAGCUUCCUGCUCACUUCCUCCACUUUGGGGAGAAAUUGUAG
RNAcentral lists this long non-coding RNA (472 nucleotides) under Parus major (Great Tit). RNAcentral's name for it is "lncRNA (ENSPMJG00000010404.1)". The record is from RNAcentral. Lineage: Eukaryota; Metazoa; Chordata; Aves; Passeriformes; Paridae.